Molecule: ribosomal RNA, 468 nt
Filed under: uncultured bacterium
Lineage: Bacteria
Description: bacterial SSU rRNA
Rfam family: Bacterial small subunit ribosomal RNA
Source: RNAcentral
CUGGCGGCACGCUUAACACAUGCAAGUCGAACGGAGAUUUUGGAGCUUGCUUCGAGAUACUUAGUGGCGGACGGGUGAGUAACACGUGAGCAACCUGCCUUUGAGAGUGGAAUAGCUUCUGGAAACGGAUGGUAAUACCGCAUAACGUUAUCUGACCGCAUGAUCGGAUAACCAAAGAUUUAUCGCUCAAAGAUGGGCUCGCGUCUGAUUAGAUAGUUGGUGAGGUAACGGCUCACCAAGUCGACGAUCAGUAGCCGGACUGAGAGGUUGAACGGCCACAUUGGGACUGAGACACGGCCCAGACUCCUACGGGAGGCAGCAGUGGGGAAUAUUGCACAAUGGGCGGAAGCCUGAUGCAGCGAUGCCGCGUGGAGGAAGAAGGUUUUCGGAUUGUAAACUCCUGAUCUGAGGGACGAUAGUGACGGUACCUCAGGAGAAAGCUCCGGCUAACUACGUGCCAGCCGCCGC